AAAGCUUGCUUUCAAAACAACUUAGCGGCGGACGGGUGAGUAACACGUAGGCAACCUGCCCUUCAGACUGGGAUAACUACCGGAAACGGUAGCUAAUACCGGAUAAUUUCUUUUUUCUCCUGAGAGAAGAAUGAAAGACGGAGCAAUCUGUCACUGAGGGAUGGGCCUGCGGCGCAUUAGCUAGUUGGUGGGGUAACGGCCCACCAAGGCGACGAUGCGUAGCCGACCUGAGAGGGUGAACGGCCACACUGGGACUGAGACACGGCCCAGACUCCUACGGGAGGCAGCAGUAGGGAAUCUUCCGCAAUGGGCGAAAGCCUGACGGAGCAACGCCGCGUGAGUGAUGAAGGUUUUCGGAUCGUAAAGCUCUGUUGCCAGGGAAGAACGUCCGGUAGAGUAACUGCUACCGGAGUGACGGUACCUGAGAAGAAAGCCCCGGCUAACUACGUGCCAGCAGCCGCGGUAAUACGUAGGGGGCAAGCGUUGUCCGGAAUUAUUGGGCGUAAAGCGCGCGCAGGCGGCUAUUUAAGUCUGGUGUUUAAACCUUGGGCUCAACCUGAGGUCGCACUGGAAACUGGGUGGCUUGAGUACAGAAGAGGAAAGUGGAAUUCCACGUGUAGCGGUGAAAUGCGUAGAUAUGUGGAGGAACACCAGUGGCGAAGGCGACUUUCUGGGCUGUAACUGACGCUGAGGCGCGAAAGCGUGGGGAGCAAAC
RNAcentral lists this ribosomal RNA (715 nucleotides) under Paenibacillus odorifer. RNAcentral's name for it is "bacterial SSU rRNA". It matches the Rfam family "Bacterial small subunit ribosomal RNA", at positions 75 to 773 of the family's 1533-position model. The record is from RNAcentral. Lineage: Bacteria; Bacillati; Bacillota; Bacilli; Caryophanales; Paenibacillaceae.